Molecule: RNA transcript, 2368 nt
Organism: Peromyscus eremicus (cactus mouse)
Lineage: Eukaryota; Metazoa; Chordata; Mammalia; Rodentia; Cricetidae
Gene name: disks large homolog 5-like
Exons: 6
Source: RefSeq, a predicted model, not a curated record
GACAUCCAGUCUAGUGGAGUGAGCAUCUACUGGAUUCUUGGAUUUUCCAUUCCUAGCCAGAUAUUGUUGAAUUAGCUAGAGCACAGCUUAUAAGCCAUUCUAACAAAUACCCUUUCCAUAGAGAGAUUCAUUUUGUAACUUCUGUUCUCUAUAGAACCCUGGCUAAUACACCAGACAUGUAGAGAGGAAAUUCUAGAACAGUUAGGAUCUCAUAACAGUCUCAGCUCACUUACAAAUUCUCAGUGGCCAUCUUCCCUUAACCUUAGCAUUCCUCAGGUGCUGCUCACUUCAAAGAACUCAACCCUCCUCUUUCACAUCAUCCUGAUCUAAUUCCUUGACAUGAUUUAUUUCUCAUAUUAUUAGGUAUGGAUGUUAAGGAGGGGAAGAGUCAUUCUUAGGAAGUGCUUAUAAACUGAGUGUUCACCUACCCAUGGGUAAAGUAGUGAAAAGAUUCUAAUGAGGCCGAAGAAAUCUCUAGGUUUGGAAGGAGGAGGUGCUGAAUAACUUCCCCUGUGUCAGAAGAGAGACUCCUGGAAAGGAAACCUCAGCUUCUGGUCAGUUCAUGGAGAACUAAUUAGCAAGGAGGCAAAGACUGUGCCCCAUGACAUCAGCAGACCCUUUGCUGGGCAUUCUGUUGUAUCCUGGACAGCUCUUGGAAUCCCCAGUGAUGUCACUAGUGUUGAAGCAGCACCAACAUUCUUUAGGACAUUGGUUCACUGACCACAAGUUUGGCCUCUAGACAUGUUAUCCAGACUCAGAGGUCUAUUUGGGAGAGGGAAUGGACAGCAUGGAGAGACCAGAGUGAGGCAGAAGGAAGCUGGUCCUAGAUCUCCCUGGAAAACAUGGGGGAAUAAGUUGUCCUGGGGAAGACUCAGGACUACAGAGGAGGCACCAUCCCAACUCUCCACCUUCACUGAGCAGGAGCAGUAGAUGAAAAAAAUAGAGAAACUCACAAGCCGGCUACAUAAUAUGACAUGCGAGAGAAAUGAGCUGCGUGGAAUCCUAGCCAAUUACACCAACAAGGAUUUGAACAACAGGCUGAAUUUUGAGCUUGAGAUGCUCAAAAUGGAGCAUAAGCAGGUGAUGUCUGACCUGCAAAAAUUUCCCAUAGAGAUCAUUGAUGCCUUGGACAAGUGCACGGGGCUGAUUGAGGAGACUGAAUCCUUCAGGAGCAAGAGAGUCUGGAUGAAAUACUGAAGGACCUGCUGAAGCAGAAGGAGCUUGUCACCCAGCAAAGGGACUUGGCAGAAAAGCUACAACAUCACUUCAGUGUCACUGAGAUGAGCAGAUCUUGAGAGAACUGAGGAGGCCAAAGAAGCCAAAGAUGCCUUGAACCCAUGAAGCUCUCCACCUCAGAUCGAGGUCUGCUCAGAAGACAUCCCUUAUAGCUGUGAUCUCACCAGUGAGGCAAAUACCAUCUGACCUCCAGGUGAUCCAGCCCCAAUCAAUAGGUCUGUUGACUCAGGAUUCCUGAAGAAAAGAAAGCAUCACAAAUGAACUCAAGACAGAAAAACCUGAGACAAUAAUUACUGGGAACCCUGACAUUCAACAGCAAGUGGACCCUGUGAGGGCUACAACAACAUGGAGGGUAGAGAUGUUGGCCAGUGCUGAAGCUGACUCCAUGUCCUGCACAAGUGUUGCUGAGGAUAAUGCACCACAGAGAUCUCCACAGUCCAUCAUUCCCUGGGUUAGACAUUUUUUCCUACAUAUUUAAAAUCAGUGGUUAUUUCUCCAUUUCUCAGCUUGAACUGAAGUGACUGGUCCUGAGAAAGGAUUUAUAGAAGACAUCUGAGUUACCCUUUGAUGUUUCUUGGUACUCAGAUGCUGCCCACAUAUUUGUGGGGUCUCUAGUAAGCACACAAGAGUCUGUAUGCUGAAAGAAUCAAAUAGUGACCAAGACAUUACAGGAUCAGCAGUGUGUGAUAAUUUAUCAAAAGCUUCCCAGAGGGGCACAAAGAAUGCUCUAGAAAAUGUCUCAUCCUUAGUCUCGGUGAAGGCUUGGCCUACAAAGCCUGAAGGAGGCAUGACUAUACUAGUUUUGAAAAGGCUUUCACAUUCGCUGACUGCCUUCCUACCAUGUUUCCAAGGCCAGCCACAGGCUGUAGGUCUGUGCUGCUAACUGUGCAGCAGAGAAUGCUGCUGGCCUUAAUUGUUUUUUGUUUGGUUUUUGGUUGCUUUGGGUUUUUUGUUUGUUUGUUUUCUUUGUUAUAGAUUGAGAUUUUGCUAUUUAUUUUUUCUUUCUUUUGUUCUUGUUGUUAUUUGGGUAUUUUGCUAAGGCUGUUCACUGUUUAUAUUGACUGCUCCCUUUAAGCCCCUAUUGAGUAAUAUUACUGAAUUUUAUUAAUAAUAAAGUGAUUUUGAACUUUUC